CCUACGGGUGGCAGCAGUGGGGAAUAUUGGACAAUGGGGGCAACCCUGAUCCAGCCAUGCCGCGUGUGUGAAGAAGGCCCUCGGGUUGUAAAGCACUUUCAGUGAGGAAGAACGCCUGGUGGUUAAUACCCAUCAGGAAAGACAUCACUCACAGAAGAAGCACCGGCUAACUCCGUGCCAGCAGCCGCGGUAAUACGGAGGGUGCGAGCGUUAAUCGGAAUUACUGGGCGUAAAGCGCGCGUAGGUGGCUUGAUAAGCCGGUUGUGAAAGCCCCGGGCUCAACCUGGGAGCGGCAUCCGGAACUGUCAAGCUAGAGUGCAGGAGAGGAAGGUAGAAUUCCCGGUGUAGCGGUGAAAUGCGUAGAGAUCGGGAGGAAUACCAGUGGCGAAGGCGGCCUUCUGGACUGACACUGACACUGAGGUGCGAAAGCGUGGGUAGCAAACAGGAUUAGAUACCCGGGUAGUC
RNAcentral lists this ribosomal RNA (465 nucleotides) under Vreelandella stevensii. Its description in RNAcentral is "partial 16S ribosomal RNA". It matches the Rfam family "Bacterial small subunit ribosomal RNA", at positions 338 to 795 of the family's 1533-position model. The record is from RNAcentral. Lineage: Bacteria; Pseudomonadati; Pseudomonadota; Gammaproteobacteria; Oceanospirillales; Halomonadaceae.